UGGAUCCAGACUUUGAUCCUGGCUCAGGAUGAACGCUAGCUACAGGCUUAACACAUGCAAGUCGAGGGGAAACGACAGUAAAGCUUGCUUUAUUGGGCGUCGACCGGCGCACGGGUGCGUAACGCGUAUCCAACCUGCCCCCAACUCCGGAAUAGUCCCCCGAAAGGGGGGUAACGCCGGAUGCUGCAGCUGCUCCGCAUGGUGAAGUUGCGAAAUGAAAAAGGUUGGGGCUGGGGAUGCGUCCCAUUAGGUAGUAGGCGGGGUAACGGCCCACCUAGCCGACGAUGGGUAGGGGUUCUGAGAGGAAGGUCCCCCACAUUGGAACUGAGACACGGUCCAAACUCCUACGGGAGGCAGCAGUGAGGAAUAUUGGUCAAUGGGCGAGAGCCUGAACCAGCCAAGUAGCGUGUGGGAAGAAUGCCCUAUGGGUUGUAAACCACUUUUGCAGGAGGGUAAAAUGCUUCACGUGUGGAGUAUUGCAAGUAUCCUGCGAAUAAGGACCGGCUAAUUCCGUGCCAGCAGCCGCGGUAAUACGGAAGGUCCAGGCGUUAUCCGGAUUUAUUGGGUUUAAAGGGAGCGUAGGCGGGGAGUCAAGUCAGUUGUGAAAAGCCACGGCCCAACCGUGGUCGUGCAGUUGAAACUGGUUCUCUUGAGUGCGCACGAGGACGGUGGAAUUCGUGGUGUAGCGGUGAAAUGCUUAGAUAUCACGAAGAACUCCGAUUGCGAAGGCAGCCGUCCGGAGCGUUACUGACGCUGAGGCUCGAAGGUGCGGGUAUCAAACAGGAUUAGAUACCCUGGUAGUCCGCACAGUAAACGAUGGAUGUCGGCUGUCGGCGACAGAAUGUCGGUGGCCACGCGAAAGUUUUAAGCAUCCCACCUGGGGAGUACGCCGGCAACGGUGCAACUCAAAUGAAUUGACGGA
Molecule: ribosomal RNA, 922 nt
Filed under: uncultured Bacteroidota bacterium
Lineage: Bacteria; Pseudomonadati; Bacteroidota
Description: bacterial SSU rRNA
Rfam family: Bacterial small subunit ribosomal RNA
Source: RNAcentral